Molecule: ribosomal RNA, 301 nt
Filed under: uncultured bacterium
Lineage: Bacteria
Description: partial 16S ribosomal RNA
Rfam family: Bacterial small subunit ribosomal RNA
Source: RNAcentral
CAGUCGCCGCGGUAAUACAGAGGAUGCAAGCGUUGUCCGGAAUUAUUGGGCGUAAAGGGCUCGCAGGCGGUUUCUUAAGUCUGAUGUGAAAGCCCCCGGCUCAACCGGGGAGGGUCAUUGGAAACUGGGAAACUUGAGUGCAGAAGAGGAGAGUGGAAUUCCACGUGUAGCGGUGAAAUGCGUAGAGAUGUGGAGGAACACCAGUGGCGAAGGCGACUCUCUGGUCUGUAACUGACGCUGAGGAGCGAAAGCGUGGGGAGCGAACAGGAUUAGAUACCCCUGUAGUCCCUGUCUCUUAUAU